GUAACUAUUAUUUUUUUCAGACGCUGAUUGCAAUUGCAAAGAGUUUAAAGUUGUCCAAUCGGCGGGUCAGACCCGCCGAGGAAACAUGUAGUACGCAAAAGACAUGGAUACAGACAGGAGCUAUAGCGGACUAUAAACUCCAUACUGAAAGGUAAUGAUCCUUCCGCAGGUUCACCUACGGAAA
RNAcentral lists this unclassified non-coding RNA (184 nucleotides) under uncultured fungus. Its description in RNAcentral is "sequence contains ITS1". The record is from RNAcentral. Lineage: Eukaryota; Fungi.